This 661-nucleotide ribosomal RNA is filed under the name Fusarium avenaceum. RNAcentral describes it as "eukaryotic LSU rRNA". It matches the Rfam family "Eukaryotic large subunit ribosomal RNA", at positions 1 to 671 of the family's 3401-position model. Lineage: Eukaryota; Fungi; Ascomycota; Sordariomycetes; Hypocreales; Nectriaceae. The record is from RNAcentral.
AACUUCUGAAUGUUGACCUCGGAUCAGGUAGGAAUACCCGCUGAACUUAAGCAUAUCAAUAAGCGGAGGAAAAGAAACCAACAGGGAUUGCCCUAGUAACGGCGAGUGAAGCGGCACCAGCUCAAAUUUGAAAUCUGGCUUUCGGGCCCGAGUUGUAAUUUGUAGAGGAUACUUUUGAUGCGGUGCCUUCCGAGUUCCCCUGGAACGGGACGCCAUAGAGGGUGAGAGCCCCGUCUGGUUGGAUGCCAAAUCUCUGUAAAGUUCCUUCGACGAGUCGAGUAGUUUGGGAAUGCUGCUCUAAAUGGGAGGUAUAUGUCUUCUAAAGCUAAAUAUUGGCCAGAGACCGAUAGCGCACAAGUAGAGUGAUCGAAAGAUGAAAAGCACUUUGAAAAGAGAGUUAAAAAGUACGUGAAAUUGUUGAAAGGGAAGCGUUUAUGACCAGACUUGGACUUGGUUAAUCAUCUGGGGUUCUCCCCAGUGCACUUUUCCAGUUCAGGCCAGCAUCAGUUUUCGCCGGGGGAUAAAGGCUUCGGGAAUGUAGCUCUCUUCGGGGAGUGUUAUAGCCCGUUGUGUAAUACCCUGGCGGAGACUGAGGUUCGCGCUUCUGCAAGGAUGCUGGCGUAAUGGUCAUCAACGACCCGUCUUGAAACACGGACCAAGG